AACGCGAAGAACCUUACCUACUCUUGACAUCCACGGAAUUUAGCAGAGAUGCUUUAGUGCCUUAGGGAACCGUGAGACAGGUGCUGCAUGGCUGUCGUCAGCUCGUGUUGUGAAAUGUUGGGUUAAGUCCCGCGACGAGCGCAACCCUUAUCCUUUGUUGCCAGCGAGUAAUGUCGGGAACUCAAAGGAGACUGCCGGUGAUAAACCGGAGGAAGGUGGGGAUGACGUCAAGUCAUCAUGGCCCUUACGAGUAGGGCUACACACGUGCUACAAUGGCAUAUACAAAGAGAAGCGAACUCGCGAGAGCAAGCGGACCUCAUAAAGUAUGUCGUAGUCCGGAUUGGAGUCUGCAACUCGACUCCAUGAAGUCGGAAUCGCUAGUAAUCGUAGAUCAGAAUGCUACGGUGAAUACGUUCCCGGGCCUUGUACACACCGCCCGU
RNAcentral lists this ribosomal RNA (440 nucleotides) under uncultured bacterium. RNAcentral's name for it is "bacterial SSU rRNA". It matches the Rfam family "Bacterial small subunit ribosomal RNA", at positions 958 to 1397 of the family's 1533-position model. The record is from RNAcentral.